GGCUUUGUGGCGGAAUGGUAGACGCUGGGGACUUAAAAUCCCUUGGUCAUUGCGACCGUGCGGGUUCGAGCCCCGCCAAAGCCACCA
Molecule: transfer RNA, 87 nt
Filed under: Rickettsiales bacterium
Lineage: Bacteria; Pseudomonadati; Pseudomonadota; Alphaproteobacteria; Rickettsiales
Description: tRNA-Leu
Rfam family: tRNA
About the family: Transfer RNA (tRNA) molecules are approximately 80 nucleotides in length.
Source: RNAcentral